AUGGCUCAGGAUGAACGCUAGCUACAGGCUUAACACAUGCAAGUCGAGGGGCAGCAUGAGAUUAGCUUGCUAAUCUUGAUGGCGACCGGCGCACGGGUGCGUAACACGUAUCCAAUCUACCCAUGGCUCGGGGAUAGCCUUUCGAAAGAAAGAUUAAUACCCGAUGGUCUGCGAUUGAGACAUCUCGAUUGCAGUAAAGACUUGUCGGCGAUGGAUGGGGAUGCGUCCGAUUAGCUAGUUGGCGGGGUAACGGCCCACCAAGGCGACGAUCGGUAGGGGUUCUGAGAGGAAGGUCCCCCCACACUGGAACUGAGACACGGUCCAGACUCCUACGGGAGGCAGCAGUGAGGAAUAUUGGUCAAUGGGCGAUGGCCUGAACCAGCCAAGUAGCCGUGAGGGAUGACGGCCCUACGGGUUGUAAACCUCUUUUGUAUGGGAAUAAAGUGAGGCACGUGUGCCCUUUUGUAUGUACCUUACGAAUAAGCAUCGGCUAAUUCCGUGCCAGCCGCCGC
This 512-nucleotide ribosomal RNA is filed under the name uncultured bacterium. Its description in RNAcentral is "bacterial SSU rRNA". It matches the Rfam family "Bacterial small subunit ribosomal RNA", at positions 19 to 518 of the family's 1533-position model. The record is from RNAcentral.